Molecule: ribosomal RNA, 606 nt
Filed under: uncultured bacterium
Lineage: Bacteria
Description: bacterial SSU rRNA
Rfam family: Bacterial small subunit ribosomal RNA
Source: RNAcentral
GGUAACGGCUCACCAAGUCGACGAUGAUUAGGGGUUCUGAGAGGAUUAACCCCCACACUGGAACUGAGACACGGUCCAGACUCCUACGGGAGGCAGCAGUAGGGAAUAUUGGGCAAUGGAAGAAAUUCUGACCCAGCCAUGCCGCGUGAAGGAAGACGGUCCUAUGGAUUGUAAACUUCUUUUGCCGCAGAGUAAAGACAGCCACGUGUGGUUGUUUGAGAGUAUGCGGGGAAUAAGUAUCGGCUAACUCCGUGCCAGCAGCCGCGGUAAUACGGGGGAUACGAGCGUUAUCCGGAUUUAUUGGGUUUAAAGGGUGCGCAGGCGGAUCGAUAAGUCAAGGGUGAAAAGUUGCGGCUUAACUGCAAUCGUGCCUUUGAUACUGUCGGACUAGAGAGUAAGAGACGUGGCCGGAAUGUGAUGUGUAGCGGUGAAAUGCUUAGAUAUGUCACAGAACACCGAUCGUGAAGACAGGUCACGAGUUUACUACUGACGCUCAUGCACGAAAGCGUGGGGAUCAAACAGGAUUAGAUACCCUGGUAGUCCACGCUGUAAACGAUGAUCACUCGUUGUUGGCCAGUAAUGGUCAGCGGCCAAGCGAAAGCGAUA